CCUCGCUCAGUACGAACGCUGGCGGCGUGCCUAAUACAUGCAAGUCGAACGAACUCUGGUAUUGAUUGGUGCUUGCAUCAUGAUUUACAUUUGAGUGAGUGGCGAACUCGUGAGUAACACGUGGGAAACCUGCCCAGAAGCGGGGGAUAACACCUGGAAACAGAUGCUAAUACCGCAUAACAACUUGGACCGCAUGGUCCGAGCUUGAAAGAUGGCUUCGGCUAUCACUUUUGGAUGGUCCCGCGGCGUAUUAGCUAGAUGGUGGGGUAACGGCUCACCAUGGCAAUGAUACGUAGCCGACCUGAGAGCGUAAUCGGCCACAUUGGGACUGAGACACGGCCCAAACUCUACGGGAGGCUAGCAGUAGGGAAUCUUCCACAAUGGACGAAAGUCUGAUGGAGCACGGCCGCGUGAGUGAAGAAGGUUUCUGCUCUAAAUUCUUUGUCCAGAAGACAUAUCUUUCUCCUUCUGCUUU
RNAcentral lists this ribosomal RNA (475 nucleotides) under Lactiplantibacillus plantarum. Its description in RNAcentral is "bacterial SSU rRNA". It matches the Rfam family "Bacterial small subunit ribosomal RNA", at positions 18 to 470 of the family's 1533-position model. Lineage: Bacteria; Bacillati; Bacillota; Bacilli; Lactobacillales; Lactobacillaceae. The record is from RNAcentral.